This 461-nucleotide ribosomal RNA is filed under the name uncultured bacterium. Its description in RNAcentral is "bacterial SSU rRNA". It matches the Rfam family "Bacterial small subunit ribosomal RNA", at positions 43 to 524 of the family's 1533-position model. The record is from RNAcentral.
CAGGCCUAACACAUGCAAGUCGAGCGGGGAAGGGUAGCUUGCUACCUGACCUAGCGGCGGACGGGUGAGUAAUGCUUAGGAAUCUGCCUAUUAGUGGGGGACAACAUUCCGAAAGGAAUGCUAAUACCGCAUACGCCCUACGGGGGAAAGCAGGGGAUCUUCGGACCUUGCGCUAAUAGAUGAGCCUAAGUCAGAUUAGCUAGUUGGUGGGGUAAAGGCCUACCAAGGCGACGAUCUGUAGCGGGUCUGAGAGGAUGAUCCGCCACACUGGGACUGAGACACGGCCCAGACUCCUACGGGAGGCAGCAGUGGGGAAUAUUGGACAAUGGGCGCAAGCCUGAUCCAGCCAUGCCGCGUGAGUGAUGAAGGCCUUAGGGUUGUAAAGCUCUUUUACCCGGGAUGAUAAUGACAGUACCGGGAGAAUAAGCCCCGGCUAACUCCGUGCCAGCAGCCGCGGUAAU